Molecule: ribosomal RNA, 292 nt
Filed under: uncultured bacterium
Lineage: Bacteria
Description: partial 16S ribosomal RNA
Rfam family: Bacterial small subunit ribosomal RNA
Source: RNAcentral
GUGUCAGCAGCCGCGGUAAUACGUAGGGUCCGAGCGUUAAUCGGAAUUACUGGGCGUAAAGCGUGCGCAGGCGGUUUUGUAAGCCAGAUGUGAAAGCCCCGGGCUUAACCUGGGAAUGGCAUUUGGGACUGCAAGGCUGGAGUACGGCAGAGGGAGGUGGAAUUCCACGUGUAGCAGUGAAAUGCGUAGAGAUGUGGAGGAACACCGAUGGCGAAGGCAGCCUCCUGGGCUAGUACUGACGCUCAUGCACGAAAGCGUGGGGAGCAAACAGGAUUAGAUACCCGGGUAGUCC